Molecule: ribosomal RNA, 748 nt
Filed under: uncultured soil bacterium
Lineage: Bacteria
Description: bacterial SSU rRNA
Rfam family: Bacterial small subunit ribosomal RNA
Source: RNAcentral
UGGCGGCGUGCCUAACACAUGCAAGUCGAGCGAAAUACUUGCCUGUAGCAAUACAGGUAAGUGUUUAGCGGCAGACGGGUGAGUAACACGUAGACAACCUUCCUCAUAGAGGGGGAUAGCCAGCCGAAAGGUUGGGUAAUACCCCGUAAGAUCGCGGUCCGGCAUCGGACUGUGAUGAAACAUCCGCAAGGAUGGCUGUGAGACGGGUCUGCGGCCUAUCAGCUAGUUGGUGAGGUAACGGCUCACCAAGGCUACGACGGGUAACCGGCCUGAAAGGGCGAACGGUCACACUGACACUGAGACACGGGUCAGACUCCUACGGGAGGCAGCAGUGAGGAAUUUUGGACAAUGGGGGCAACCCUGAUCCAGCCAUGCCGCGUGAGUGAAGAAGGCCUUCGGGUUGUAAAGCUCUUUCGGCGGGGACGAAACGGUCCGUGACAACACCACGGACUAAUGACGGUACUCGCAGAAGAAGCACCGGCUAACUACGUGCCAGCAGCCGCGGUAAUACGUAGGGUGCAGGCGUUAAUCGGAAUUACUGGGCGUAAAGCGUGCGCAGGCGGCUCCUUAAGUCAGAUGUGAAAUCCCCGGGCUUAACCUGGGAACUGCGUUUGAAACUGGGGAGCUAGAGUGUGGAAGAGGGGGGUGGAAUUCCAGGUGUAGCAGUGAAAUGCGUAGAUAUCUGGAGGAACACCGAUGGCGAAGGCAGCCCCCUGGGCUAACACUGACGCUCAUGCACGAAAGCGUG